Molecule: long non-coding RNA, 290 nt
Filed under: Rhinopithecus bieti (black snub-nosed monkey)
Lineage: Eukaryota; Metazoa; Chordata; Mammalia; Primates; Cercopithecidae
Description: lncRNA (ENSRBIG00000046153.1)
Source: RNAcentral
AUGGGCGCACCGUGGCCAUGGCAACCUCUUAAAUUUAUAGCAUAUCUAAAUUGGCUACAGCGUUGCGGUCCGGACAGAGCAAAAAAAACAAGGCAUCAGUAUUGUUGAGUAUUAGCUUGUACCUGGUUCGGAGGCUAAACAGCUCGGAGGUGGCACUCACCACGUCUCUCCUUUCCUCGCUGCACCUUCCAGAUUCCAGGUCUUCCUAUGGGCACUGUGGCUCGGCCAUGAGAGACUUCAAAUGGAACCGCAGUUUCCCGCAGCACUUGGCUCUGCCCACCUGGGCUUAA